GAAAAUUGUCAACCACUCCUUCCUUAGGGGGUAAAAGCAACAUUCAGCACCGGGGGCAGGUCAAGGCAAGGCUGGCUCCCGUCUCCAGGCCCCAAGGAGCCACACCUGGACCAGACCCCAGGAAAGACAUGUGGUGGAAACCCUACGGCCCUGGAGCCCAAGGAGAGCAACGGCUGUAACAAGUGCACAGGCAAGGGCGCUAGCUGGUGGGAGCCACCCCGCCAUGCUGAUGUCAGAGAAGCAAGAACUCUGGAGAAGCAGCCUCCUGGGACCAGAGGAGGGCCAGCAGCAGGCAGCCCGGAGACAGAACUGUGAGCCCACCCCACCUCCACCCUUCCGGCACCCACAUCCGCUCCCCACCCCAGCCCACCUGCAGGUGGCUCCUGGAGUAUCCUGGGUCCCUCAGGAUAAACUCCCCACCCUAACCUCAGAAUGACCAAGAAACUGGGCCUGAGGAUGACAAGAAGCAGAAUGGGCCUUGGUAAAGGAAGACCCCCCACUGAUUGGUGGCAGUGCGGGCAGUUCAGGGCUGUCAGCGUCUGGGUUGUAGGUAAAAAGAAAUGGAACCCAAGAAGGGAAAUCCAACUAGGAGCCAAGAAUCCGGUCUACCCCAUCCUCCUUACGAAAUAGCAAUGCAAAGCCCGUGUGAUUUGGACAUAAAGCCUCUGUUACUCAACUUGAUUCGGUGAAUAACAGACUUGAAAGAAAUGUGGAAAAUAAUAGUAAUCUUCCCUAGAAAGGAGUAAACAGGGUUGAGCUCCCAAAGCAGGAAGACCUGGGGCUGUGUGAUCUUGGACGAGUCACUCAACCUCUCUGAGCCUAGUGAUAAAGAGCCAGCUCAUAGGGCUUUGAGAGGAUUUGUGAGGUUGGGCUGGUGUCCCCAGGCACAGCCCUUGGCACAUAGUGAAACUCAAGAAAACAGAGCAGUUUUUACCAUUCAUCACAUUAUUCCCACACUUGCCAAUUUUUUAAGUUCAUGCACAUGGUGGAACAGGUAGGGUGAGGUGCCAGCUCCAUAAGAUGAGUGGAGAAACUGAGGCCUGGAGAGGUGAAAGCAUUCACUCAGAGUUGCAUGUAGAGUCAGUUGCAAAGGAGAAUUCUGGCACCAGUUCUCAUGUGGAUGGAAAAAGUGCAGGAAGAUUUGGAGGUGAGCAGAGGAGAAGGGAGGAGGAGGCCGGGUUCCAGGAAAGGAGCUGACAUCCAGGGAUGUGGGACAAGGCCCAGGCCUGUCUUACAUAACAUGGUCCACCUGUUCACCCCUGCAGGCCCCACAAAUGUGUGCAAACGUGCACCCCGGCACAGCGCACACCCAGUCCUCCCUCACUGGCAAAUAAGCCACAGAGACUGGGUUUAAACAAAUUGGAUUAGGAGGGCUACAGGCGCCUCCUCCCCCCGACUGUCCGGCUCCGACACUAAACAGACCUGCAGAACUGCCAGCUGUGGUCUCUCGGACACACUGACAGUCGGUCCUUGGCUCCCUCACCCCACCCGUGGGCCUCAGGAAGGGGGUUGGGGUCUGAGAGGAUGCCACAGUGAUGGAUGGGGUGAGGGAGGUUCCAGGGCUAGCUCAACAGCGCACAGGAUGUUAGUGCUUUUGCGAGGCACAUUUCCGAGCUGUUCCCAGACCCGCCCCCACUUCCCCCCUCACCCUCCCCUCCGGCAGCCUCUCCCAUGGCCACUGCUGCGGGCUGUGAGCAGAGCCCCGUCCUUGAGCAGAUUGACCUCAUCUUUCAGUCCUGCAGCUGGGCUGAGCGGGGAGUCAGCUCAGAAGACACUGGCCUGGGGAUGAGACUCGGGGCAUGCUUCAGAGGGAAGAAAGAGCUUCUGAACAGACAAUGCUGUCUUAAAGGUGGCAUCUUGGUGCUUUCUCAUGCCUUGUUUUCUUUCAUCCUCAGAAUGUGUCUGGGGGUGAGAGGACGGGUGUGACUGCUGAAACUUCCUUUCUUGGUGAUUCCACAUCACUCCUUUCUGAUCCCUGAGCCUGUGCCACGCCCUGUGUGAUGUGCCGGGGACACCAGGGUGAAUACUUACAGGCCCUGUUCCCCUUCCUUCAUGAAACAGCCUCCUUCGGGCUGGGUCACUGGGCACUGGGGCCUCCCUGGUCUUCCAGGAUUGCAACUUCACAGAAUCCCUUUUCCAUAAGGCACAUGAAAGUGACUGUGACCCGCAACGGGAGCCUUGACAACCAGCCAAUUCAGAACACAGACCUUGACAUCGGAAGGCCCCGAGUUCAAAUCCUGCCUUGCUCCCUUUCAGCUGGAAAGCUGUGGUCAAAUUACUUAGCCUCUCCAAGCCAGUUUUCCCUUCUGCAAAAUGAGGUUACACAAGCUGCCACCUCACAGAAUGAGUCUCACCCACGCCUCUCCAAGCCUCCCAACAGAAGACAGAGGUCCCCCACAGCCAGAGACAUUUCCUGAAGACAUGGGGAACACAGAGGCAGAAACAGCCCAUCCACCCAGGAGCUGUCCCCCACACUGCCGGGAGCCGGCACCCAGAGCCGCCAGGUAAAACUGAGGCCACCUGGUUCAACAUCACCUUUCACAGAAGGGGAAGCAGCCACAGAAAGAAGGGCCUCGUUAAGAAGUGGAACCUGGGACCCCCAAGCGGUGUCUCUCAUCCUGACUGGGGAUCCAGAGUAGGAGGGAGCCUUUGGUGGGGUAAGUGGAAUGGGGCGGGGUGGGGGGUGGCCAUAGACCCCUCUUCUCAGUAAGGCCCUCAUGUGAAGGAGGCAGGGGUUGGGACAAGUGCUAAGUAUGCAAGACUCAAGGGAAGAGCUGCUGGAGCCAGGAGAAGCACCUCCCUCCCGGCCCCUCUGCCCCUCCUCAUAGCCCAGCUGCACUGACUCCUCCUCCAGGAAGCCUUCUCAGCUUCCCCAGGGGUGGGAACCUUUUUGUCCUCCAGGUGUGCUUGGCUGUCCUUUCUUGGGCUCUCUCUCUCUCUCUCUCCUCAUCCCACUUGAGUCUGCCCCCUAUUCACCUUGUGAGGGGAAUUUUCCUUCUACUCAAUCUGACCGAGGUCCUCCAGGUCAAGGACAGCGAGGCUCUCAGUCCCACUUCCCCUUGGCACAUAGAAGAGGCAGUGCGCUGAAGGGACAGGUGAAAUGAUUAGACCCUGCCCCCAAACCAAGGCCUGGCCAAUUGGACAGGGCAUGAGACAUUCAGCGUAGAGGUUAAAACGAGGGCCCUGGGUUAGGAACCCCAGCUCAGUUCUCAGCUCUGUACCCUUGGAAAAUUCCCUUCCCAUGGAGCUUUGUGGAUGCACAAGGACUUGCACAAAGAAAACAUUCAAUAUCCAGGACUAUAAAAUUCCACAAAUGAUUGUGCUUAUUACAUUCAUUAUCACGAUGAUUAUUCCAGACACAAAGGAACAGAACGAGGCACCAACAGCAAGGGGCAAGCAGAUUCAAGGGCCACAGAGGAGAUGGAGGCAAACACCUUCCCCUGGUCAGAGGCUGUGCCUCAGCCCUUCUCCCUGCAUCAGUUUCUCCUUCAGAAGCAUGGGACUACCUCCCAUCUAGUUCUCGUUUCUAAACCUAGGGGAGAUGCUAUCUUUGCUGCAAUAAUCUUAGCCUACAUCUUGGAAUGGAAAUGGCCUUGGUGGAAAUGGUCUUCAACUCCUCUGGUCCAAGCUCAGGCCCUGUGACCCUGGAACAAUCCCCUUCCUGGUCCUCCAUGUAGGAGCAAUAACAUUCCCUUGCCAGCAGCACCAGCCAUUCUGAUGAUUAAAUGGUAUCGGACUCUGUUUUCCAAACUCAGUCAUUCAGAUGCCCCCUAUUUUAUUUCUUCCAUGUCUGCAAAUGAUUAUAAUAUUUUUAAAUGUAGGAUGAGUCCUUUUUAUUACACAUAGAAAUAGCUACUGUAAAUAGCAAACUCUAACACUGUGCCUAAUUAGGAAAUAAAGGUAACCAUAAAUACAGUAAAAAUGAAACAAUGUUAUUAUGGUUUAACCUGAUAGUGUGGCUUGCAAGGCCCUGGGCCUGAAGCCUGGGCAAUAAGUGAGAGUUAGAAAGGUGUCAAAGACAUGAUAGCAGCAAACUGAGGCUUUGUACCCCACGGUAAAUAGGACUGAAAGCAAAUUCACAGGGAGCAACUGAUCCAUUCCACAACAGAAUGCUCCCUGUCAAUUCGCUUUCCAUUCUGUUGUGUCCUGUCUCCCAGCAGAGACUACAAACUCCCCAAAACCACUUACCCACCAGCUGCACGUGAGAAGCCAAAGGUAGUUUAUGUGAAAGGGCUUUGGAAAUAAUCACGCACCAAGUGAAGGCAGAGGACACACCUUGUCAGCUUAGUUCUCAGCAGCAAAUCAUCUCUUUUCCAGGAUAACCCUCCCUGAUUCUUAUUGAAAUCUCUUUGCUGACCACACUAAGCUCUUCUCUCUCAGGGGCAGUGGGAGCCGUGGAGAGUGGAAUAGACCAGCUGUCUGUGACCUGCGAGGGAGUCCAAUGUCGGAAUCACUCCCCAGCCAAAUGCACGGUUUUAAAAAAUCUAUUUAUUUAUUUAUGUAGAGACCAGGCUAUGAGACUGGCUAAUUUUUCGUAUUUUUGGAUAGAGACAGGAUUUCAUCGUGUUGCCCAGGCUGGUCUUGAACUCCUGGGCUCAAGCGAUCCACCUGCCUCGGCUUCCCAAAGUGCUCAGGAUUACAGGCGUGAGCCACUGUGCCCAGCCACCAAAUGCAGUUGAAAAGAGUUUCUGCAAGAUAAUUCCACAGAAGAGGAAAGCAGUUAUCUGGCUGGGAAUACCUUAGACAGAGGCUGUCCUCUACACAGGCUGUCAGAACUGACCUACUGACCUGCCUGCUGGCAUGAUAGACCAGAGGGAAACACUCUUUCCACUCUUCCCAGACUGAGUGUAAGAGACAGACUUUUUUUUUUUUUUUUGAGACGGAGUCUCACUCUGUCACCCAGGCUGGAGUGCAAUGGCAAGAUCUCGGCUCACUGCAACCUCCACCUCCCCGGGUUCAAACCAUUCUCCUGCCUCAGCCUCCCAGGUAGCUGGGAUUACAGGCUCCCGCCACCACGCCUGGCUAAUUUUUGUAUUUUUAGUAGAGACAGGGUUUCACCAUGUUGGCCGGGCUGGUCUCGAACUCCCAACCUCAGGUGAUCCGCCUACCUUGGCCUCCCAAAGGGUUGGGAUUACAGGUGUAAGCCACUGCUCCCAGCCUUUUUUUUUUUUUUUAUUAGAGACAAGGGCUCCCCAUGUUGCCCAGGCUGAUCUUGAACUCUAGGCUCAAGCGAUCCUCCUGCCUGAGCCUCCCAAAGUGCUAGGAUUACAGGCAUGAGCACUGCUCCCAGCUCUGUUUUUGUUUUUUUAAGGAGGUAUAUUUUUUCUGUUCUCUCUCAGCCCUGAAGAAAGGCUACCCAUCCCCUUCAGACAUUCCUGAAAAUAUAUGUCAUCCAACAUCAAGGCCACCACAGUGACCACUAAGCAAUGCAAGAAGGUCCUCUGGGGUGCCCUGAGAUCUUGGCAGGGCAGGAAGAGUGAGAAGGGGCUUUGCCUGCUCACCUGAAAGUUCCCACCCAAGCCGGGCCCAGAAAACAAAAUGAAUUAUCUACAUGGUCAUCCAAUCAGCCACCAAAUGGCAUUACCUAGGUCCAUCAUCAUGUACCAAGCCACAGGUCAGACCCAGGGCCCCCCAAAUUAACAAGACACAGGCACUGUCCUCAGGAAGUGGAGAUCUAGCCAGGUCAGACCCACACACAAAUAACACUGAUACUAGAGAUAAUGAGAUUGGGAAUUAUGAUUCAGCCAUUCAACCUGGGCUUAUGUGGCAUCUACACCACCUGGCCCUGAUUUCAGUAGUGAGCACAGUUGACAGGGUCCCUUCCCUUCACAGGUGAGCCAUGUAGUCCACAAGUGGAGGUGGUCGUAAGUGAAAACCACAUUACCAGCAUGGUAAAGGGUUAGAAAGAGGGCACCGGGUGGGCGAGAACAUGAAGCAGGGGGUGCUGAUGGCUAAAGAAGUAAAGGAGGGGCUGGGCACUGUGGUUCAUGCCUAUAAUCCCAGCACUUUGGGAGACCAAGGCGGGUGGAUCACCUGAGGUCAGGAGUUCUAGACCAGCCUGGGCAACGUGGUGAAACCCUGUCUCUACUAAAAAUACAAAAAUUAGCCAGGCAUGGUGGUGCACGCCUGUAGUCCCAGCUACUUGGGAGGCUGGGGCAUGAGAAUUGCUUUAACCCGGAAGGUGGAGUUUGCAGUGAGCCGAGAUCGUGUCACUGCACUCCAGCCUGGGCGACAGAGGGAGACUCUGUCUCAAAAAAAAAAAAAAGUCAAGGAGGGUUUCCCAGAGUGGCCACUUGAUUAGAGACCUAGCACAGGAGGAAGAGAUGGGCAGGGAGAGUGACGGGGAGCAGCACAGUCCCUGGGAGCCCGAAGUGGGUGGGCACAGGGCUCCCUAGGAGAAUGGAAGGACAUCUAUGAGCUGUAGCCCAAGAGGAAGAGGUCACUGGGGCUAGAUGCGGCAGACCCUCGCAGGCUUUGGGAAGGGCUUCAGAAUUCAGCCUGAGGGCAAUGGGGAGCCCUUUUGGGAUAUUAAACUUGAGUAAGAUAUGAGCAUAUUUGCAUCUUGAAAAAUCAUUAUGGGAAGAUGGCUGGGAAGAGAGGAGGAGUGGCAGAAGAAAGAUAGGUUGGAGACAAUUGAUUGCUCGAUGAUAUAAAAUGUUAAGUACCAUGAAUGAUGCUGUUAGGCUGGAAUGCGCCAAGCAUAAAGGUGGGGCAUGGCAUCAAAAGGUAGGUCAACAUAUUAAAUAAUUCCAUGUAUUGAAAUAUCCAGAAAAUAUAUAGACAGAUCUAUAGAGAUAGAAACUGGUCUGCCCAGGACUAGGGGUUGUCUAAGGAUAAGGAGCUUCUUUUUUGGAUGGUGAAAUAACCUAAAAUAUAUUGUGCCAUUGUUUGCACAACUUUGUGAAUAUAUUAAAAACCUGUUAAUUGUACUCACUAAAUGUCCUCCUUCUAAAUUAAGCUGUUCUUGACAAGAAAAGGAAAGAAACAAAGAAAAGAAGAGAAAAAAGGUCAAGGUUUGGUCCUGGGUGCUCAAAUGGCAGGCCACAGACAGGAAACACAGUUGUGAGGAAUUACAACAGCCUCCCGGCCAGAGCUGGAGAGGUGGAGCCCAGGUCCCCUCUAACACCCCUUCUCCUGGCCAGGUUGGAGUCCCGCCACAGGCCACCAGAGCGGAGCAGCGCAGCGCCCUGUCUCCCAGCCUGAGGUGCAGUGCUGCAUCUCUGGUCAGUUGGGAGUCUGAGAUGAAGCACUGUAGCUCAGGAAGAGAGAAGUUGUUCUGCAGCCAUCAGCCUGGAAGUGGUAAGUGCUGGGGGGUUGUGGGGGGCCAUAACAGGAAGGACAGAGUGUUUCCAGACUCCAUACUAUCAGCCACUUGUGAUGCUGGGGAAGUUCCUCUACACAAGUUCCCCUGGUGCCACGAUCUGCUUCACGAGUCUGGGCAUGUCCUGACUCCUCUGUGUACCCCAGUGUGUCCAUCUUAGCAUGAGGCGUUAGCAUUUCCCCAGCACCCUGCCUCUGCUUUCUCUUUCUGAGCCCAUGGCAGACACAGCUAAUCAGUAAAGGCAUAUAUUCUUUUUUUUUUGAGACACAGUCUCACUCCAUCACCCAGGCUGGAGUGCAGUGGCAUAAUCUCAGCUCACUGCAACCUCCUCCUCCCAGGGUCAAGCAAUUCUCGUGCCUCAGCCUCCCAAGUAGCUGAGAUUACAGGUGUGCGCCACCACACCUGGCUAAUUUUUGUAUUUUUAGUAGAGAUGGGGUUUCACUAUGUUGGCCAGGCUGGUCUCAAACUCCUGACUUCAGGUGAUCUGCCCGCCUCGGCCUCCCAAAGUGCUGGGAUUACAGGCAUGAGCCUCCACGCCCCGCCAGGCAUCCAUUCUUGAAGUGCUCAGAUGCAGCUUCAGAAUCCUCAACAAUGAGCCCUGGAAAGCCACUAGUACUGAUUCACAGCUGAAACUCAUUCAUCAUUUGUGGAUCAAACAAUUCCUAAAAACCCUUUCAGCCCUGAAGAUAAAAAUUCUGGCCUUUGAGUCAGGGUCUUCACUCUGUACUUCUAACCUUGGCUCCGGGGUAUUGCCGAAACCAGUCCAGGCACGUCACAAAUGUCUGACUUCUCCCAGAGGCUUCAGAAGCACAAUGAGCAGCAGAGGAGAGCCAUGGAGCCAAGCACAGUCUCAUUUAACCUCCCCAAAAGCUUGGGAAGUGGGUGGUGUUAUAGCCCCAUUUUACAGAUGAGAAAAACUGAGGCUUAUUUAAGCAGCUCACCUAAAGUCACAUAUUGAUUGUGCUGAGCUGAGAUUGUACCCUAAUCUGCCUUCAAAUCCAUGUUUUUACCCAUUGCAUGUGAUUAUGGAACCUGGGACCGAGGAGCAGGAGGAGAACAUUCUAAAUUCUGCUCCCAUCUUGUCUUUACAUCUCAGGUCACUUUUAGCAAAGACAGACCCGGACACUUGCCAUUAAUACUACAGGCUUCCUUCCUCCUACCCCCUUCCCCCAAUCUUAUUCAUCUCACCUCUCCAGUAGGUCGUGGACUCAUGCAUUUUAUAAUUAAAGAAGGCCAAGGCUCAGGGGUUAAGUGACUUACUGGAGGUUAUCAGAGAGGAAGUUGCCAAACCCAGGCUAGGAACUGAAUGGUUGGUUUAAAUCCACCCCUCUGGCAGGAGACUGGGGAAUACACAUGAGCCGUGCAGACAGCAGAGGGCAGUCCUGGGGGUGGGGGCGCCAGAGGGUUUCCGGUACUUUUCAGGGCAAUUGAAGUUCCGGUCACUACUCCCCCCCAGAGCAAUAAGCCACAUCCGGCGACGUGUGGCACCCCACCCUGGCUGCUACAGAUGGGGCUGGAUGCAGAAGAGAACUCCAGCUGGUCCUUAGGGACACGGCGGCCUUGGCGCUGAAGGCCACUCGCUCCCACCUUGUCCUCACGGUCCAGUUUUCCCAGGAAUCCCUUAGAUGCUAAGAUGGGGAUUCCUGGAAAUACUGUUCUUGAGGUCAUGGUUUCACAGCUGGAUUUGCCUCCUUCCCACCCCACAGUUGCCCCCCAAUGGGGCCUCGGCUGGCUCACAGGAUGAGGGUUCAAGAAGAAGGCUGUCCCUGGAGGUAAGAGGGCUUAUGAACCAUGUUCCAAACCUUUGCGUUGCUUUUCUUUCCAUCGUGUCUAUUUCAUAACAUCCCUGUGAGGCUGGAUGUGGGAACUUCAGCACUGCCGUACUCUUGGGAAAUUUGUCCAAGGCCACCCGGCUGAGCAGCGGUUGAACCAGGACACCAUCAGGCAUGCGUUUCUUGUCUCCACCACACCCUCAACCCACUUCCCAACGCGCCUUGCGACAGGGGCUGCGGUAUUGCAUCCACAUGACUGAUAAACUAGUAAACACACAUGAAUUCAUUUUAAAAGUGUAUUCAAUCAGUUAGGUAAACUAAAAACCUUAAGUCUUCGUUCGAUUUGGAAUGCAGCCAGAGAACAAAUGGAAAAUUUUUCAAGGUAGAGAAGAUGAAAACUCAGAACGCCCUCUUGUGGCAUCUCUACCCACCCUAGGAACACUAUGGCUCUUCCCCUACACAUGGUGAUUGCUAACCUUGCUACAAGACGUUGGACACACACACACACACACACACACACACACACACACUGAGGUUCCUUUUGCCCCCUCACUUUUGAGCCAGUGACUACUGAAACCCUCUCCAUUGUUGCACCACCAGCAAUGCCCCCAUCACUUCCUCUCAUUUACUUCCACAGGCUGGUUCAUCCUCAAAGCCCUCCUUACGUAGAUCUGUGGGAUCAGUGAGGCUCAGAGAGGUAAAGUGGCCAGCCCAAGGUCGCCCAGACAGCAAAAGGCAGGGCCAGCGCUGAUUUCAAGUCCAAUGGCCUAUGGCAAUUUCUUAGCCAAAAGCAAAAUCUACAAAAAUAAAAAGUCAGGCACAGUGGUGAGUGCCUACAGUCCCAGCUACUGAGGAGGCCGACGGGGGAGGACCACUUGAGCUUGGGAGUUCCUGGCUGCAGAGAGCUAUGAUUGUGCCUGUGAAUAGCCAAUGCACUCCAGCCUGAGCAAGAUAGGGAGACCCUGUCUCUAAAAAAUACCUAAAUAAUUUUAAAAGUCAGCCUCUCUGACUGCCUAUAGAGAAUGCUAACUAACUGAAUGACAGAAGACCUAAUGUAAUCCAGGUGCAAAAUCAGAACUUUCCGGCCGGGCGCGGUGGCUCACACCUGUAAUCCCAACACUUUGGGAGGCCCAGGCGGGUGGAUCACGAGGUCAGGAGUUCAAGACCGGCCUGCCCAACAUGGCAAAACCCCGUCUCUACUAAAAAUACAAAAAAUUAGCUGGGCAUGGUGGUGGCCACCUAUAAUCUCAGCUACUCAGGAGGCUGAGGCAGGAGAAUUGCUUGGACCCGGGAGGCAGAGGUUGCAGUGAGCUGAGAUCGCGCCACUGCACUCCAGCGUGGGGGACAAAAGCGAAACUCUGUCUCAAAAAAAAAAAAAUUAGAACUUUCCCCGUACUCUUGCUAGGGCUUUUCAUGGAGAUGUAGAAAUGGUAGUAAGUGCCAAGGCCCCAGAACCCUCAUGUUUGGGUCCGACUCCCACAUUGCCAGAGACUAGGCAGCUCACACAGGUGUCCCAAGCUGUCUUUCUCACAGGCCGCAUUGAAGGCAUUUAUGAAAUGAGACCCCCUCUUCCUCAUCCGUAGUGACAGGGCUGGCCUGACCGUGGAGAAAUCAGAUUUGAUCAUGAUAGCUUCCACUCCGUGACUGGUCACGAUCUGCCAGGCGCUGUGCUAAACACUUUCAUAGGCCUUGUCCCCCUCCAUCCUGAUAACACCCCAGUGAAGCAGGCCCUGCUCUUCACUCCACUCCACAAAGCCAAGGCUGAGAGAGGUUAACAGACUUACCUAAGGUCACACAGCUAAGAAGUCGUGAAGCUGGGAUCGAAUCAAGUCUGUGUUUAUGGGUUUAACUAUCAUGUUGUGGCCCCAACCCCAUUUGACCUAGCCUGGCUGGUGGGCCUUCUUGCAGUAGCUUCCCCUGGAGAAGAGGAAAAGCAAACCUUCAUUGAGACCCAAGCGGUCUCUCCUGUGCUCUGUGACAAUAAUAAAGUUCCAGCCCUUGGCUCCUGU
RNAcentral lists this long non-coding RNA (11102 nucleotides) under Homo sapiens (human). Its description in RNAcentral is "PREDICTED lncRNA (TCONS_00214860)". The stretch from base 8907 to 8992 matches the Rfam family "mir-145 microRNA precursor family". The record is from RNAcentral. Lineage: Eukaryota; Metazoa; Chordata; Mammalia; Primates; Hominidae.